CCCUGAUUUCCCAUGUUCUGUCUCCUUCACCAGGACCCAUGUAAACUUGCAGCUCAACAGCCCACUUACUGCACAUACUGACCAUCACCCUGAGAUGCUGGGGCCAUCUGUUCGGCGUGACGCCAUUCCUGGGAAGAUGUGAAGGGAUGUGUCUAUCACCUCAUAUGUGAAGUUGAAGACACGAUUGCUCUGCCUUCCUCCCUGGCUGUCUGUGGCUGCACCUCCCCCAAUGCUAUGGAGUCUUCCUCUGGUACCACAAGCCCAC
This 265-nucleotide long non-coding RNA is filed under the name Cricetulus griseus (Chinese hamster). Its description in RNAcentral is "lncRNA (ENSCGRG00000026143.1)". The record is from RNAcentral. Lineage: Eukaryota; Metazoa; Chordata; Mammalia; Rodentia; Cricetidae.